RNAcentral lists this long non-coding RNA (237 nucleotides) under Lathyrus oleraceus (garden pea). RNAcentral's name for it is "Pisum sativum (pea) long non-coding RNA (PSAT_LNC022100)". The record is from RNAcentral. Lineage: Eukaryota; Viridiplantae; Streptophyta; Magnoliopsida; Fabales; Fabaceae.
UUUUUUUCUUAGAUGAGCCUUUUUUGUUCUUUUGUUUUGCUUUAAUUGAUUUUCGAGUCUUUCAUUUGUGUAUGAGAAGUGACUCGUCAUUAGAGGAUAAUAUCUGAAGUUUAUUGUUGCUAUUAUUAUGUUUUGAAUUCUCCUUGAUAUGUGUUUCUUCAUCUGAUGAUGUUAUGAUUAACUUUGUUUAGCACUGAGAGUUUUUGUUUUCUUGUAUGGCUUACCAUUGAUGUUGUC